Molecule: ribosomal RNA, 429 nt
Filed under: Gemmatimonadota bacterium
Lineage: Bacteria; Pseudomonadati; Gemmatimonadota
Description: Gemmatimonadetes bacterium partial 16S ribosomal RNA
Rfam family: Bacterial small subunit ribosomal RNA
Source: RNAcentral
UAGGGAAUCUUCGGCAAUGGACGAAAGUCUGACCGAGCAACGCCGCGUGCGUGAAGAAGGUUUUCGGAUCGUAAAACUCUGUUGUUAGAGACGAACAAGGACUUUAGUAACUGAACGUCCCCUGACGGUAUCUAACCAGAAAGCCACGGCUAACUACGUGCCAGCAGCCGCGGUAAUACGUAGGUGGCAAGCGUUGUCCGGAUUUAUUGGGCGUAAAGCGAGCGCAGUCGGUUUCUUAAGUCUGAUGUGAAAGCCCCCGGCUCAACCGGGGAGGGUCAUUUGGAACUGGGAGACUUGAGUGCAGAAGAGGAGAGUGGAAUUCCAUGUGUAGCGGUGAAAUGCGUAGAUAUAUGGAGGAGCACCAGUGGCGAAGGCGGCUCUCUGGUCUGUAACUGACGCUGAGGCUCGAAAGCGUGGGGAGCAAACAGG